Molecule: non-coding RNA, 281 nt
Organism: Odocoileus virginianus texanus
Lineage: Eukaryota; Metazoa; Chordata; Mammalia; Artiodactyla; Cervidae
Source: RefSeq, a predicted model, not a curated record
CCCACCCUGGCCCUGCGCUCAUUCCAUCCCUGGCCCACCAAACAGGGAUUUGGCACCGACUGUUUGCCAGGCUCUGAGGCUCUAGUGGUGAACAUGCAGCAAGGUAAAGAGAGGGAGGAUGGCAGAAGAAACAGCAUGUGCAAAGGCCCUGGAGCUGGCAGGAAAAUGACACAUUCAAGAACAGGACAGUGCUUGGCACAGAAGAGCAGAUCAAUGAGGAGAGAAGAGGAAGGGAAAGAAAGAAAUGAAUGAAGCACCAGCUCCAUGCCUGGUUCACAGGG